GUAGGUGGCAAGCGUUGUCCGGAAUUAUUGGGCGUAAAGCGCGCGCAGGCGGUUCUUUAAGUCUGAUGUGAAAGCCCACGGCCCAACCGUGGAGGGUCAUUGGAAACUGGAGAACUUGAGUACAGAAGAGGAAAGCGGAAUUCCACGUGUAGCGGUGAAAUGCGUAGAGAUGUGGAGGAACACCAGUGGCGAAGGCGGCUUUCUGGUCUGUAACUGACGCUGAGGCGCGAAAGCGUGGGGAGCAAACAGGGAUUAGAUACCCUGGUAGUCCACGCCGUAAACGAUGAGUGCUAAGUGUUAGGGGGUUUCCCGCCCCUUAGUGCUGCAGCUAACGCAUUAAGCACUCCGCCUGGGGAUACGGCCGCAAGGCUG
RNAcentral lists this ribosomal RNA (372 nucleotides) under uncultured organism. RNAcentral's name for it is "partial 16S ribosomal RNA". It matches the Rfam family "Bacterial small subunit ribosomal RNA", at positions 527 to 896 of the family's 1533-position model. The record is from RNAcentral.